This 460-nucleotide ribosomal RNA is filed under the name uncultured bacterium. Its description in RNAcentral is "partial 16S ribosomal RNA". It matches the Rfam family "Bacterial small subunit ribosomal RNA", at positions 338 to 795 of the family's 1533-position model. The record is from RNAcentral.
CCUACGGGAGGCAGCAGUGAGGAAUAUUGGUCAAUGGACGAGAGUCUGAACCAGCCAAGUAGCGUGAAGGAUGACUGCCCUAUGGGUUGUAAACUUCUUUUAUAUGGGAAUAAAACGUUCCACGUGUGGGAUUUUGUAUGUACCAUAUGAAUAAGGAUCGGCUAACUCCGUGCCAGCAGCCGCGGUAAUACGGAGGAUCCGAGCGUUAUCCGGAUUUAUUGGGUUUAAAGGGAGCGUAGGUGGAUUGUUAAGUCAGUUGUGAAAGUUUGGGGCUCAACGGUAAAAUUGCAGUUGAAACUGGCAGUCUUGAGUGCAGUAGAGGGGGGCGGAAUUCGUGGUGUAGCGGUGAAAUGCGUAGAUAUCACGAAGAACACCGAUUGCGAAGGCAGUUCACUGGACUGCAACUGACACUGAGGCUCGAAAGUGUGGGUAUCAAACAGGAUUAGAUACCCGUGUAGUC